Callithrix jacchus (white-tufted-ear marmoset) is the source of this 92-nucleotide small nucleolar RNA. The record is from Ensembl. Lineage: Eukaryota; Metazoa; Chordata; Mammalia; Primates; Cebidae.
AUCCUUGUGUAAUUCAUGAGCAUGAUGACUGGGUGUUCACACACUUGUGUGAGAUGUGCCACCCUUUACAUCGGCACAUUACCCAUCUGACC